RNAcentral lists this ribosomal RNA (460 nucleotides) under uncultured bacterium. RNAcentral describes it as "partial 16S ribosomal RNA". It matches the Rfam family "Bacterial small subunit ribosomal RNA", at positions 338 to 795 of the family's 1533-position model. The record is from RNAcentral.
CCUACGGGGUGCAGCAGUGAGGAAUAUUGGUCAAUGGACGAGAGUCUGAACCAGCCAAGUAGCGUGAAGGAUGACUGCCCUAUGGGUUGUAAACUUCUUUUAUAUGGGAAUAAAAUGUUCCACGUGUGGGAUUUUGUAUGUACCAUAUGAAUAAGGAUCGGCUAACUCCGUGCCAGCAGCCGCGGUAAUACGGAGGAUCCGAGCGUUAUCCGGAUUUAUUGGGUUUAAAGGGGGCGUAGGUGGAUUGUUAAGUCAGUUGUGAAAGUUUGCGGCUCAACCGUAAAAUUGCAGUUGAUACUGGCAGUCGUGAGUACAGUAGAGGUAGGCGGAAUGCGUGGUGUAGCGGUGAAAUGCUUAGAUAUCACGCAGAACUCCGAUUGCGAAGGCAGCUCACUGGACUGCAACUGACACUGAGGCUCGAAAGUGUGGGUAUCAAACAGGAUUAGAUACCCCAGUAGUC